AGUUGCCAGCAUUCAGUUGGCAUCUAAGGUGACUGCCGGCUAAAAGUCGGAGGAAGGUGGGGAUGACGUCAAAUCAUCAUGCCCCUUAUGACCUGGGCUACACACGUGCUACAAUGGGCGGUACAAAGGGUCGCGAACCCGCGAGGGGGAGCCAAUCCCAAAAAGCCGCUCUCAGUUCGGAUUGCAGGCUGCAACUCGCCUGCAUGAAGCCGGAAUCGCUAGUAAUCGCGGAUCAGCAUGCCGCGGUGAAUACGUUCCCGGGCCUU
RNAcentral lists this ribosomal RNA (266 nucleotides) under uncultured Anoxybacillus sp. RNAcentral's name for it is "partial 16S ribosomal RNA". It matches the Rfam family "Bacterial small subunit ribosomal RNA", at positions 1113 to 1382 of the family's 1533-position model. Lineage: Bacteria; Bacillati; Bacillota; Bacilli; Caryophanales; Anoxybacillaceae. The record is from RNAcentral.